GGGGGUGUCGCAUAGUGGCCAAUUGCAACGGACUGUAACUCCGUUGACUUACGUCUACGUUGGUUCGAAUCCAACCACCCCCA
This 83-nucleotide transfer RNA is filed under the name Chlamydiota bacterium. RNAcentral describes it as "Chlamydiae bacterium tRNA-Tyr". It matches the Rfam family "tRNA". From Rfam's summary of the family: Transfer RNA (tRNA) molecules are approximately 80 nucleotides in length. Their secondary structure includes four short double-helical elements and three loops (D, anti-codon, and T loops). Lineage: Bacteria; Pseudomonadati; Chlamydiota. The record is from RNAcentral. RNAcentral also lists the same sequence under 1 other name.